UACGAAGGGAGCUAGCGUUGUUCGGAAUUACUGGGCGUAAAGCGCACGUAGGCGGAUUAGUAAGUCAGGGGUGAAAUCCCGGGGCUCAACCUCGGAACUGCCUUUGAUACUGCUGAUCUCGAGUCUGGAAGAGGUGAGUGGAAUUCCUAGUGUAGAGGUGAAAUUCGUAGAUAUUAGGAAGAACACCAGUGGCGAAGGCGGCUCACUGGUCCGGUACUGACGCUGAGGUGCGAAAGCGUGGGGAGCAAUCAGG
This 253-nucleotide ribosomal RNA is filed under the name uncultured bacterium. RNAcentral describes it as "partial 16S ribosomal RNA". It matches the Rfam family "Bacterial small subunit ribosomal RNA", at positions 524 to 776 of the family's 1533-position model. The record is from RNAcentral.